AUUGAACGCUGGCGGCAUGCCUUACACAUGCAAGUCGAACGGUAACAGGUCUUCGGAUGCUGACGAGUGGCGAACAGGUGAGUAAUACAUCGGAACGUGCCUAGUAGUGGGGGAUAACUACUCGAAAGAGUGGCUAAUACCGCAUGAGAUCUAAGGAUGAAAGCAGGGGAUCGCAAGACCUUGUGCUACUAGAGCGGCCGAUGGCAGAUUAGGUAAUUGGUGGGAUAAAAGCUUACCAAGCCGACGAUCUGUAGCUGGUCUGAGAGGACGAUCAGCCACACCGGGACUGAGACACGGCCCAGACUCCUACGGGAGGCAGCAGUGGGGAAUUUUGGACAAUGGGCGAAAGCCUGAUCCAGCAAUGCCGCGUGCAGGAUGAAGGCCUUCGGGUUGUAAACUGCUUUUGUACGGAACGAAAAGCCCCGGGUUAAUACCCUGGGGUCAUGACGGUACCGUAAGAAUAAGCACCGGCUAACUACGUGCCAGCAGCCGCCGUAA
RNAcentral lists this ribosomal RNA (498 nucleotides) under uncultured bacterium. RNAcentral describes it as "partial 16S ribosomal RNA". It matches the Rfam family "Bacterial small subunit ribosomal RNA", at positions 30 to 523 of the family's 1533-position model. The record is from RNAcentral.